RNAcentral lists this ribosomal RNA (836 nucleotides) under uncultured Methanogenium sp. RNAcentral's name for it is "bacterial SSU rRNA". It matches the Rfam family "Archaeal small subunit ribosomal RNA", at positions 58 to 901 of the family's 1478-position model. Lineage: Archaea; Methanobacteriati; Methanobacteriota; Methanomicrobia; Methanomicrobiales; Methanomicrobiaceae. The record is from RNAcentral.
UCGAGAGGGUUCAGACCCUCGGCGGACUGCUCAGUAACACGUGGAUAACCUGCCCUAAGGUGGAGCAUAACCCCGGGAAACUGGGGAUAAUACUCCAUAGAUUAGAGACACUGGAAUGUUCUUUAGUCGAAAGUUCUGGCGCCUUAGGAUGGAUCUGCGGUCGAUUAGGUUGUUGUUGGGGUAACGGCCCAACAAGCCUGUAAUCGAUACGGGUUGUGGGAGCAAGAGCCCGGAGAUGGAAUCUGAGACACGAUUCCAGGCCCUACGGGGCGCAGCAGGCGCGAAAACUUUACAAUGCAGGAAACUGUGAUAAGGGAACUCCGAGUGCCCGUAUACGCGGGCUGUCCAGGUGUUUAAAAAUCAUCUGAAGAAAGGGCCGGGCAAGACCGGUGCCAGCCGCCGCGGUAAUACCGGCGGCUCGAGUGGUGGCCACUAUUAUUGGGCUUAAAGCGUCCGUAGCUGGACCGAUAAGUCUCUUGGGAAAUCCGCCGGCUCAACCGGCGGGCGUCUAAGGGAUACUGUUAGUCUAGGGACCGGGAGAGGUGAGAGGUACUCCGGGGGUAGGAGUGAAAUCCUGUAAUCCCCGGGGGACCACCGAUGGCGAAGGCAUCUCACCAGAACGGCUCCGACAGUGAGGGACGAAAGCUGGGGGAGCGAACCGGAUUAGAUACCCGGGUAGUCCCAGCCGUAAACUAUGCGCGUUAGGUGUACUGGUGACCACGAGUCACCGGGGUGCCGAAGGGAAACCGUGAAACGUGCCGCCUGGGAAGUACGGUCGCAAGGCUGAAACUUAAAGGAAUUGGCGGGGGAGCACCACAACGGGUGGAGCCUGCGGU